UUAUGAAUUUAGAAAAAUAGUAUUUCUAGAAAGUUGUAGAUAAUUUAAUUAUCUUUCUAACAGUAUAAAUAGAGUCCAAAUUGGAGUUCUACAACUCUAGAUAUGUUGAUUUUACUGAAAGGGGAGUCUAGAGUUACGAGAUUUAGGGAGUUAGAAGUUAGGAUUCUAUUUGUUUUUAUUAUUUUAAAAAUCAAGCUUUGAAUCCUUAAAUUUCUUUGAAAAAUUUGACCAAUUCCUAAGCCUUUGGCUGAAGGAUAUUCAAAUAUUUUCAAUUAAAUUUAUUAUUUUUAUUCAAAGCCAAAAAAAAGAUUUUUAUUCCUAGAACUCUAUAAAUAGGACCUAGCACCAAGCAUUUUUCAUUCAUUCAUCAAGCUAAGUUCAGAGGCUGCAAGUUGCUAGGUUAUUGUGAGAGUGUAAACACUUGGGUUGGGGAUUAUAAGCUUAAUCAUUUUUAAGCUUACCAAACACUUGGGAAGUAAGGUUUAUAAUACAUUUCGGUUCAAGGUUUAGAUUGGUCAUAAAGCAUUCAAGGAAAUCUAAGUUCUUGAGCAUAAGGUUUUUGGAGUGUUCCAAGGUCCCAAAUCAGUUCUCAUAUCCCGAUUAUUUUGGUAA
Humulus lupulus (European hop) is the source of this 612-nucleotide long non-coding RNA. RefSeq lists it as uncharacterized. The transcript has 3 exons. NCBI's taxonomy places the organism in Eukaryota, Viridiplantae, Streptophyta, Magnoliopsida, Rosales, Cannabaceae. The record is from RefSeq and is a predicted model, not a curated record.